ACACUCCUGCGGGAGGCAGCAGUGGGGAAUAUUGCACAAUGGGCGCAAGCCUGAUGCAGCCAUGCCGCGUGUAUGAAGAAGGCCUUCGGGUUGUAAAGUACUUUCAGCGGGGAGGAAGGCGAUAAGGUUAAUAACCUUGUCGAUUGACGUUACCCGCAGAAGAAGCACCGGCUAACUCCGUGCCAGCAGCCGCGGUAAUACGGAGGGUGCAAGCGUUAAUCGGAAUUACUGGGCGUAAAGCGCACGCAGGCGGUCUGUCAAGUCGGAUGUGAAAUCCCCGGGCUAAACCUGGGAACUGCAUUCGAAACUGGCAGGCUAGAGUCUUGUAGAGGGGGGUAGAAUUCCAGGUGUAGCGGUGAAAUGCGUAGAGAUCUGGAGGAAUACCGGUGGCGAAGGCGGCCCCCUGGACAAAGACUGACGCUCAGGUGCGAAAGCGGGGGAGCAAACAGGAUUAGAUACCCCUGUAGUCCC
RNAcentral lists this ribosomal RNA (471 nucleotides) under uncultured organism. RNAcentral's name for it is "partial 16S ribosomal RNA". It matches the Rfam family "Bacterial small subunit ribosomal RNA", at positions 333 to 797 of the family's 1533-position model. The record is from RNAcentral.